This 427-nucleotide ribosomal RNA is filed under the name uncultured Pseudomonas sp. RNAcentral describes it as "bacterial SSU rRNA". It matches the Rfam family "Bacterial small subunit ribosomal RNA", at positions 355 to 774 of the family's 1533-position model. The record is from RNAcentral. Lineage: Bacteria; Pseudomonadati; Pseudomonadota; Gammaproteobacteria; Pseudomonadales; Pseudomonadaceae.
UGGGGAAUAUUGGACAAUGGGCGAAAGCCUGAUCCAGCCAUGCCGCGUGUGUGAAGAAGGUCUUCGGAUUGUAAAGCACUUGAAGUUGGGAGGAAGGGCAGUAACCUAAUACGUUGCUGUCUUGACGUUACCGACAGAAUAAGCACCGGCUAACUCUGUGCCAGCAGCCGCGGUAAUACAGAGGGUGCAAGCGUUAAUCGGAAUUACUGGGCGUAAAGCGCGCGUAGGUGGUUUGUUAAGUUGGAUGUGAAAUCCCCGGGCUCAACCUGGGAACUGCAUUCAAAACUGACAAGCUAGAGUAUGGUAGAGGGUGGUGGAAUUUCCUGUGUAGCGGUGAAAUGCGUAGAUAUAGGAAGGAACACCAGUGGCGAAGGCGACCACCUGGACUGAUACUGACACUGAGGUGCGAAAGCGUGGGGAGCAAACA